GUCCUUGCCAUAAACGAUGUAUACUUGGUGUAGUUAGGCUCAACCCUGACUGUACCGUAGCCAACGCGAUAAGUAUACCGCCUGGGGAGUACGCUCGCAAGGGUAAAACUCAAAAGAAUUGACGGGGACCCGCACAAGCAGUGGAGCAUGUGGUUUAAUUCGAUGCAACGCGAAGAACCUUACCUGGAUUUGACAUGCAGUUGACCACUGUAGAAAUAUAGUUUUCUCGCAAGAGACAAUUGCACAGGUGCUGCAUGGCUGUCGU
This 265-nucleotide ribosomal RNA is filed under the name uncultured bacterium. RNAcentral's name for it is "partial 16S ribosomal RNA". It matches the Rfam family "Bacterial small subunit ribosomal RNA", at positions 793 to 1055 of the family's 1533-position model. The record is from RNAcentral.